RNAcentral lists this long non-coding RNA (374 nucleotides) under Elaeis guineensis (African oil palm). Its description in RNAcentral is "long non-coding RNA (EGUI_LNC009866)". The record is from RNAcentral. Lineage: Eukaryota; Viridiplantae; Streptophyta; Magnoliopsida; Arecales; Arecaceae.
GAUAUCUGGUGAGACAUAGCCUCCUUAGCAAGGGCUAUGGUGCCAUUAUUUUUAUAGUAUAGUAUCAUGAUAUCUGAUGGUAUGACAUCCAGUUCUGCAACUAACAUUAGAACCAGAAUGCAUCCUACACAUUUACAGUGUGCUCAGCUUCCAUCAAUCGAUUAUUUGAAAUCCUUUCAAGAUAUCGACAUAAGAACACACCUAUGAUAUAGACAUUCUAUCAUCAAUAUCAGACAUAAAAUUUGAAUUGGUGUAUUCUCCCACUUCUAGCUAUGAUCCUUCUCUAAAAUUAAGAACAAAUCUUUAGUUCUUCUCAAGUACUCAAGAAUAGUUUCACAGCAAUCCAGCACUCUCAGUCUGGAUACAACUGAUAU